CUGAGUUGCAAAACUCCCAAACCCAUGUGAACAUACCUGUUGCCUCGGCGGCCUACCCGGCAGCUACCCUGUAGUUACCCUGUAGUCCGCCGACGGACCAUCAAAACUCUGUUUUUUAUGUCUCUCUGAGUAAAAAUCAUAAUAAGUUA
Molecule: unclassified non-coding RNA, 149 nt
Filed under: uncultured Xylariales
Lineage: Eukaryota; Fungi; Ascomycota; Sordariomycetes; Xylariales
Description: sequence contains ITS1
Source: RNAcentral